CGGCGAGUGAAGCGGGAAGAGCUCAAAUUUGAAAGCUGGCACCUUCGGUGUCCGCGUUGUAAUCUCGAGAAGUGUUUUCCGUGCUGGACCAUGUACAAGUUCCUUGGAAUAGGACGUCAUAGAGGGUGAAAAUCCCGUACUUGACAUGGACGCCCAGUGCUUUGUGAUACACUCUCCACGAGUCGAGUUGUUUGGGAAUGCAGCUCAAAAUGGGUGGUAAAUUCCAUCUAAAGCUAAAUAUUGGGGAGAGACCGAUAGCGAACAAGUACCGUGAGGGAAAGAUGAAAAGCACUUUGGAAAGAGAGUUAAACAGUACGUGAAAUUGUCGAAAGGGAAGCGCUUGAAGUUAGACAUGCUUGCCGGGAUUCAGCCUUGCUUUUGCUUGGUGCAUUUCCCGGUGUGCAGGCCAGCAUCAGUUUUGUUUGCCGGAUAAGGGUGAGAGGAACGUGGCCCCUCGGGGUGUUAUAGCCUCUCACUGGAUACGGCGGAUGGGACUGAGGACCGCAGUGUGCCUUUAUGGCGGGCCUUCGGGCACCUUCACACUUAGGAUGCUGGCGUAAUGGCUUUAAGCGACCCGUC
RNAcentral lists this ribosomal RNA (579 nucleotides) under Quambalaria cyanescens. Its description in RNAcentral is "LSU rRNA". It matches the Rfam family "Eukaryotic large subunit ribosomal RNA", at positions 87 to 653 of the family's 3401-position model. Lineage: Eukaryota; Fungi; Basidiomycota; Exobasidiomycetes; Microstromatales; Quambalariaceae. The record is from RNAcentral.